GCCCAUCUAAAUAUAUACAAAUUGUGUUUCCAAAUCAUUAGGUAAUGUAGAUGCAACUUGUUCUUUAGUUUUACUUGGAUCAAAUAGUAUUGAUGCAUUCUAAUCACACUACUAAUGAGAUGAGUAAGAGUUGUCACUUCUUCACCAAUGUAUUGACCAUCUUCAUCCAAAUCAAGUACUACAAUUUCACCUUCUUCCAAUUACGAUGUAUCUAGCAUUCUUGUUGUCCUUUAUGUUGCUUUGGUUCUACAUCCACAAUAUUCAAAACAAAAAGUCAUGUAAAUUGAAGUAGUAUGUUUACAUAAAUAUAACAUAAAAAGGAAAUGACAUAUUACUUAUGAAUUUCAGGAUUUAUUUCCUUCAUGGUUUUAUGAAGAAGUGUGGAAGGAAAGUGAAAAUUAUCCAAGAGAAUAAAUCCACAUUUUUUGUUCCAGAAAGAUCAUCUAAAUUACAUUAAACCAUAAGUUUUAAUCUUAUAAAAACACUAGGAAGACAAAAAGAGCUCAAGAUACGUUAAACCAUAACAUUGAAAAAGUUAAACAAAUGUAAGCAACAAAAUCUGAAACUUGUGUGGAUUAUUGGCCUAAACAUGUACUUAACUAUCUAACUGCAGUCAAAGAAUAUUCCGACCACAAACUCAAGGAGCAAUGGUGUGAGAUGAGAAGUAAUGCUCUAUUAAGGAACUCGCACAUGCCAAAGAGUACAUGUUGUGACACAAAUAUCACCAAAGUUCUAACUAACUACUUAUAAUGUUCCAAACAUGUCAUUUUCUGUUUUAAUUGUAGUAGUGUUUCCAAGGCUAAUCUAAGGCCCAUGUUUAGGAAAAUUCUCCAAAAUGAAGCUCGAGAACUUACACUCAAUUGUCUUGUAUGACAGUAUUUACACUUUCUCCCCAUUAUGUACUUGUUGUUGUUGUCUGUUCAUUGGUUGUCGAUGACUUUUACAAUGACCUCCUAUACUAAUUCACCAGUGAUUCAUGAUGGUUUACAUCAUAACCAUGACCAAACUUGUAAAAUCUUGAUGUUGAAGGGUAAGAACUCUCCUGCAUAUACAAAAGCAAUUUUUAAUUUAUUUUUUACGUGAAUACUAGAAACCAUUCUAUUAGUCUUCCAUUAAUAGUAACAUAACAAUAACAUUUAAAAAGUAUUAAAUAUGAUACAGAAUAAAUAGUUUUUUCAACACCUCUACAUUAAGAAAAACAAUGAAGGAACUGCAACAAUUUCAAACAAAACAAAGCAAAAAAUGUCAUAAACAGAACAUAGAUCACAUUCUUUCCGGGCGCCUGAGCAUGUGAUGCACCAAAAAAAUGAAGUUGAUAUGUUCAUAGGUGAGACCUUCAAAAUAUUCAAUAUAGCUCCCUAAUAUAUUAUAGGGGUAGCCGUUGUUGCUAUAAUGGACCUCCAUAUUUGGGCUCCUGCUCAUUUUGAUUCCUUCCCUUUAGACAAGUAAUCUGCAGAGUGAAUUCAUAGACUAUUAAAGAGCGGGUAAAAACAUAAUGAGGAGCACAAAUAACAAACCAUAAGAGCCUUAAAACAACCAUUAUCAUAUACAACUACAUUCUUCACAGAUUCACCAAGCCAUAAGAUUCAUUAAAAAAUUGAUGAAGUAAUUAACACCAAAAACCAUUUGUCUUCCAAUGUUUGAGCUACUCCUAAAAUGUGAACCUCCAAAAUGUCAGGCGGCGGAUGUGAAGGAAAAUGCCAUUAAUUAAAAUAAAUGAUAUUUCCAUUUCCAUUAAUUAUUUCUUACAUCAAUGCAUUUUCAAUGAAGAUUCACUAAACGACGUCAGGCGGUGGAUGCGCUGGCGAUACGCUAGCGAAGCUAGAGGUGGCUCGACAGACACUAUAGUGUGGGGUUCAGAGACAUCGUCCAGAGGAGUCGGGGAUGCAAUGAGGAAACGACAUCGUAGAGCUUCCAUAGCCACUGCGAGACACUCUCUCCACGAGAAAGCCAAUACAUGAACCCACACAGGGAGAGGUAAGGAAAUCGACGGCCACACCAGAAAUCAUAGAGAACACACAGAAUCGUGGUCGUCGUUGCUGACAUUCCUGGGGUAAGAGUCCCUAGGUACAAACCCUAAUUCAACUAAUUCAUGGUUAGCUAUGUAGUUUAUGGGUAAUUUCACAAACCCUAAUUCCACUAUGGAAAAUUCGAAUAGAAAAAAAGGAUUAGGAAGUAAACCUUGAAACGAGAAAGAGAACGUUGAGUGGCAGGGAG
Molecule: long non-coding RNA, 2217 nt
Filed under: Lupinus angustifolius (narrow-leaved blue lupine)
Lineage: Eukaryota; Viridiplantae; Streptophyta; Magnoliopsida; Fabales; Fabaceae
Description: long non-coding RNA (LANG_LNC002986)
Source: RNAcentral